CCAAAGGUUUUUUUUAAAACCCUAAAUAGACUAUAUCUGUUUAAAG
Corvus brachyrhynchos (American crow) is the source of this 46-nucleotide non-coding RNA. Lineage: Eukaryota; Metazoa; Chordata; Aves; Passeriformes; Corvidae. The record is from Rfam.